Non-coding RNA from Prunus avium (sweet cherry), 520 nucleotides. The record is from RefSeq and is a predicted model, not a curated record. Lineage: Eukaryota; Viridiplantae; Streptophyta; Magnoliopsida; Rosales; Rosaceae.
UUUUCCCCUUCAAAUGAAUGUAUAAUGUUGUGGUGGUCAAUUCUGAAGCUUAUGAUAUACUUUAUGUUCAUUAUUUAGUUCUCACCUUCUGGCAAUUUGUGUUUUUUUGAAUUUACAGAUGAUAUUGUUAGCAAUCUACCUAGUCAGUCCUGUUGACCUUAUUCCGGAAGCAAUGUUUGGUUUACUUGGUUACGUGGAUGAUUUCAUCGUGGCGCUCGUCAUCUUGUUUAAUCUUGCUGCCAUUUCUCGGUCAAUACUCUAUCACCGUCAUGGAGGUUCCUGAACUGUGCAGUCAUGGCUUACGGCAAUUUUAAAUUUAACCCAUGGAAAGGAGGAACUAGUUUUGAGUUCGUAAUAGCAAGCUGGGAAUUUUUCUUUGUUGUAUGGGGUCGAAUAAUUGGACUUGAUUCACCUCAUUGGAAUAUAGGAUUUUAGAAGUGAGCCAUCUAUAUGUUGCAAUGUAGUUUCAGUUGAAUUUGUAUACAUUUUCAUGCUCAAUUACGGUGACUUACAAAUGAAA